AUACGUAGGUGACAAGCGUUAUCCGGAUUUACUGGACGUAAAGGGCGUGUAGGCGGUCUUGCAAGUCAGAAGUGAAAUUCCUGAGCUCAACUCGGGCGCUGCUUCUGAAACUGCAGGACUUGAGUGCUGGAGGGGAUAGCGGAAUUCCUAGUGGAGCGGUAAAAUGCGUAGAUAUCUGGAAGAACACCGAUGGCGAAGGCAGGCAUCUGGCCGGAGACUGACGCUGAGGCGCGAAGGCGCGGGGAGCGAACAGGUUUAGAUACCCUGGUAGUCCGCGCAGUAAACGAUGCGCACCAGGUGUCGGGCGGCAGCGCCCGGUACCGGAGCAAACGCGAUGAGUGCGCCGCCUGGGGAGUAUGCCCGCAAGGGUGAAACUCAAAUGAAUUGGCGGGG
Molecule: ribosomal RNA, 393 nt
Filed under: uncultured bacterium
Lineage: Bacteria
Description: partial 16S ribosomal RNA
Rfam family: Bacterial small subunit ribosomal RNA
Source: RNAcentral